CCUACGGGUGGCAGCAGUGGGGAAUAUUGCACAAUGGGGGAAACCCUGAUCCAGCAACGCCGCGUGAGUGAAGAAGGAUUUCGGUAUUUAAAGCUCUAUCAGCAGGGAAGAAAAUGACGGUACCUGUUUCAGAAUCCCCGUCUCACGACGUGCCAGCAGCCCCGGUACCACGUAGGGGGCAAGCGUUAUCCGGAUUUGCUGGGUGUAAAGGGAGCGUAUACGGCAGCACAAGUCUGGAGGGAAAUGCCGGGGGUUAACCCCGGAACUGCUGUGGAAACUGUGCAGCUAGAGUGCAGGAGAGGUAAGUGGAAUGCGCAGUGUAGCGGUGAAAUGCGUAGAUAUUAGGAGGAACACCAGUGGCGAAGGCGGCUUACUGGACUGUAACUGACGUUGAGGCUCGAAAGCGUGGGGAGCAAACAGGAUUAGAUACCCUUGUAGUC
RNAcentral lists this ribosomal RNA (440 nucleotides) under uncultured bacterium. RNAcentral's name for it is "partial 16S ribosomal RNA". It matches the Rfam family "Bacterial small subunit ribosomal RNA", at positions 338 to 795 of the family's 1533-position model. The record is from RNAcentral.